UGACCUCGGAUCAGGUAGGAAUACCCGCUGAACUUAAGCAUAUCAAUAAGCCA
RNAcentral lists this ribosomal RNA (53 nucleotides) under Colletotrichum dracaenophilum. RNAcentral describes it as "partial 28S ribosomal RNA". Lineage: Eukaryota; Fungi; Ascomycota; Sordariomycetes; Glomerellales; Glomerellaceae. The record is from RNAcentral.